UGGGGAAUUUUGGACAAUGGGCGCAAGCCUGAUCCAGCCAUGCCGCGUGCAGGAUGAAGGCCUUCGGGUUGUAAACUGCUUUUGUACGGAACGAAAAGACUCUGGUUAAUACCUGGGGUCCAUGACGGUACCGUAAGAAUAAGCACCGGCUAACUACGUGCCAGCAGCCGCGGUAAUACGUAGGGUGCAAGCGUUAAUCGGAAUUACUGGGCGUAAAGCGUGCGCAGGCGGUGAUGUAAGACAGGUGUGAAAUCCCCGGGCUUAACCUGGGACCUGCAUUUGUGACUGUAUAGCUAGAGUACGGUAGAGGGGGAUGGAAUUCCGCGUGUAGCAGUGAAAUGCGUAGAUAUGCGGAGGAACACCGAUGGCGAAGGCAAUCCCCUGGACCUGUACUGACGCUCAUGCACGAAAGCGUGGGGAGCAAACA
This 427-nucleotide ribosomal RNA is filed under the name uncultured bacterium. RNAcentral describes it as "bacterial SSU rRNA". It matches the Rfam family "Bacterial small subunit ribosomal RNA", at positions 355 to 774 of the family's 1533-position model. The record is from RNAcentral.